CUGCUCUACUCUACUCCACUUUUAUCCCAGCCAUAGCAGCAGUUGGAGCAUGUUAGCCAAUUAAGGCAGCGUGAGCAUGAGGAGAGCGAGCAGGAGAAGGAGAAGGAGGCAGGGCACCUACGGUCGGCUCCUUCUCCAGAACCACGCGGCGGGAAAGGAGGUUAGAGGACUUUUUCUUCUUGGGACGCCGCAUCCAUGGAGCUCCGACCCCAUUGCCACUGCCAUACAUGGAGCUCUGGCCCAUGGCCAACAGCUCAAGUGUUUUCCUCGCACACGUUGGUGCGACACAGAGCCACCGUGGGGAUUCCUUCCACUACGACGUCUCCUGGUUUCUCCUCCGGUGCCCCCGUUCUUCUUCCACUUCAGCAAGUGGUGCACGACAGAGCCAGUUGUGUUUGGUGUGCGCAGGUUGGAUUCUUCUUCCACUCCGGAAAUCUGGUCUAUCCUGUUUCCAUGGCAAAGGAGAUGAUGCCCUUUGUGGAAACCGCUGACGCACGUGUUGCUCUCCAGAGAUUGCGAAGGCGACCAGUGGUUCUAGUGCUAAAGGGUUGCAACCAAACCUUUCAGAAAUGAUAUAUAGAUUCUAGAACGGACCGAGGCACCAUGUGAACUCGACCACUACUGUGUGAUUCCCGAGACAGAGUUCGAGCAGCUACUGGUUGACCAAGUGAGGAUGAUGUUGCGGUCGAUGAUGGCAGGAUCAGCGUCUUGGGAUACGACACCACGUCGGUCGCUCUUGUUCCACGUCUUGAUGACGGUGACAGCCUCAAGUUUCCCACCACGCUCUGGUCGAUUCUCGAUAACAAGCUCCCAGACGGCUCCUGGGGAGACGCUGCCCUGUUCCCCGCCUAUGACCGGGUCACCAACACCCUUACCUGUGUCGUGGCUCUCAUAAAGUGGUCUCUUGGCCAUGGUAAAUGCAGGAGAGGAUUGCAAAUGUAGCUUGUCUCCGACGAUGGGGCCGAGAACCGCAGGCUACGUACCCUAUGCAUCGCUGCUUUGACUGACCUAUCUCCCUGCGUCGGCAACCGCUUCUCUGAUGGAUGGGUUCAUCACAGGGACUCGUCAUGGCGCGCUUCAUCAACACCAAGAGGAGACCCCUUCAUCUUCAUGGCCGGCCCUCAAGCAAAGCAAAGGGAGGGGAUCGAAAUCGUCCAUGGACGGACGCGCUGAUGGGGACCUGAUGGAGACAGAGAAGGACCACGAGGAGGUGGCGUGGGUCGACCCUGGCGGUUGGCUCCUCCAGAACCACGUGG
This is a long non-coding RNA of Triticum aestivum (bread wheat), 1256 nucleotides long. RefSeq lists it as uncharacterized. The record is from RefSeq and is a predicted model, not a curated record. The transcript is spliced from 8 exons. NCBI's taxonomy places the organism in Eukaryota, Viridiplantae, Streptophyta, Magnoliopsida, Poales, Poaceae.